AUUGAACGCUGGCGGCAGGCCUAACACAUGCAAGUCGAGCGGAUGAAGGGAGCUUGCUCCUGGAUUCAGCGGCGGACGGGUGAGUAAUGCCUAGGAAUCUGCCUGGUAGUGGGGGAUAACGUCCGGAAACGGGCGCUAAUACCGCAUACGUCCUGAGGUAGAAAGUGGGGGAUCUUCGGACCUCACGCUUUCUGCUGAGCCUAGGUCGGAUUAGCUAGUUGGUGGGGUAAAGGCCUACCAAGGCGACGAUCCGUAACUGGUCUGAGAGGAUGAUCAGUCACACUGGAACUGAGACACGGUCCAGACUCCUACGGGAGGCAGCAGUGGGGAAUAUUGGACAAUGGGCGAAAGCCUGAUCCAGCCAUGCCGCGUGUGUGAAGAAGGUCUUCGGAUUGUAAAGCACUUUAAGUUGGGAGGAAGGGCAGUAAGUUAAUACCUUGCUGUUUUGACGGUACCAACAGAAUAAGCACCGGCUAACUUCGUG
This 484-nucleotide ribosomal RNA is filed under the name uncultured bacterium. RNAcentral describes it as "partial 16S ribosomal RNA". It matches the Rfam family "Bacterial small subunit ribosomal RNA", at positions 30 to 507 of the family's 1533-position model. The record is from RNAcentral.